RNAcentral lists this microRNA precursor (205 nucleotides) under Oryza nivara. RNAcentral's name for it is "MIR812 microRNA precursor family". It matches the Rfam family "MIR812 microRNA precursor family". Lineage: Eukaryota; Viridiplantae; Streptophyta; Magnoliopsida; Poales; Poaceae. The record is from Rfam by way of RNAcentral.
AAAAAGACAAACCCUGGGUUUUCGUGUCCAACUUUGACUGUCUGUCUUAUAUAAAUUUUUUUUAUAAUUCGUAUUUUCAUUGUUGUUAGAUGAUAAAACAUGAUUAAUAUUUUAUGUGCGACUUAUCUUUUUAAUUUUUUUUAUAAUUUUUUUAAAUAAGAUGGACGGUUAAAUGUUGGACACGAAAAUCAGGGUUUGUCUUUUU